This 468-nucleotide ribosomal RNA is filed under the name uncultured bacterium. Its description in RNAcentral is "partial 16S ribosomal RNA". It matches the Rfam family "Bacterial small subunit ribosomal RNA", at positions 28 to 507 of the family's 1533-position model. The record is from RNAcentral.
GACGAACGCUGGCGGCGUGCUUAACACAUGCAAGUCGAACGGAAAGGCCCUGCUUUUGUGGGGUGCUCGAGUGGCGAACGGGUGAGUAACACGUGAGUAACCUGCCCUUGUCUUUGGGAUAACUUCAGGAAACUGGGGCUAAUACCGGAUAUGAGCUCCUGCUGCAUGUUGGGGGUUGGAAAGUUUCGGCGGUUGGGGAUGGACUCGCGGCUUAUCAGCUUGUUGGUGGGGUAGUGGCUUACCAAGGCUUUGACGGGUAGCCGGCCUGAGAGGGUGACCGGCCACAUGGGGACUGAGAGACGGACCAGACUCCUACGGGAGGCAGCAGUGGGGAAUAUUGCAGAAUGGGCGGAAGUCUGAUGCAGCAACGCCGCGUGCGGGAUGACGGCCUUCGGGUUGUAAACAGAUUUCGACUGUGACGAAGAGUGAGUGACGGUAAUGGGUAAAGAAGCACCGGCUAACUACGUG